GUCUUAAUUGGGCGUUAAGUUGCAGGGUAUAGACCCGAAACCCGGUGAUCUAGCCAUGGGCAGGUUGAAGGUUGGGUAACACUAACUGGAGGACCGAACCGACUAAUGUUGAAAAAUUAGCGGAUGACCUGUGGCUGGGGGUGAAAGGCCAAUCAAACCGGGAGAUAGCUGGUUCUCCCCGAAAGCUAUUUAGGUAGCGCCUCGUGAAUUCAUCUCCGGGGGUAGAGCACUGUUUCGGCUAGGGGGCCAUCCCGGCUUACCAACCCGAUGCAAACUGCGAAUACCGGAGAAUGUUAUCACGGGAGACACACGGCGGGUGCUAACGUCCGUCGUGAAGAGGGAAACAACCCAGACCGCCAGCUAAGGUCCCAAAGUCAUGGUUAAGUGGGAAACGAUGUGGGAAGGCCCAGACAGCCAGGAUGUUGGCUUAGAAGCAGCCAUCAUUUAAAGAAAGCGUAAUAGCUCACUGGUCGAGUCGGCCUGCGCGGAAGAUGUAACGGGGCUAAACCAUGCACCGAAGCUGCGGCAGCGAACGUAUCACCCAAGACAACUUUACGGAGUUGACGAUUGACGGAGCGAAGCGACGUCAAAGCGUUCAUUAAAGUCGAGUUGGCUUAGGGAUACGUUCGUUGGGUAGGGGAGCGUUCUGUAAGCCUGUGAAGGUGUGUCGUGAGGCAUGCUGGAGGUAUCAGAAGUGCGAAUGCUGACAUAAGUAACGAUAAAGCGGGUGAAAAGCCCGCUCGCCGGAAGACCAAGGGUUCCUGUCCAACGUUAAUCGGGGCAGGGUGAGUCGACCCCUAAGGCGAGGCCGAAAGGCGUAGUCGAUGGGAAACGGGUUAAUAUUCCCGUACUUGGUGUUACUGCGAAGGGGGGACGGAGAAGGCUAUGUUGGCCGGGCGACGGUUGUCCCGGUUUAAGCGUGUAGGUGUGUGUUCCAGGUAAAUCCGGUUCACUUUAACACUGAGGCGUGACGACGAGGCACUACGGUGCUGAAGCAACAAAUGCCCUGCUUCCAGGAAAAGCCUCUAAGCAUCAGGUAACACGAAAUCGUACCCCAAACCGACACAGGUGGUCAGGUAGAGAAUACCAAGGCGCUUGAGAGAACUCGGGUGAAGGAACUAGGCAAAAUGGUGCCGUAACUUCGGGAGAAGGCACGCUGACACGUAGGUGAAGUGAUUUACUCAUGGAGCUGAAGUCAGUCGAAGAUACCAGCUGGCUGCAACUGUUUAUUAAAAACACAGCACUGUGCAAACACGAAAGUGGACGUAUACGGUGUGACGCCUGCCCGGUGCCGGAA
This 1297-nucleotide ribosomal RNA is filed under the name Salmonella enterica subsp. enterica serovar Typhimurium. RNAcentral describes it as "partial 23S ribosomal RNA". It matches the Rfam family "Bacterial large subunit ribosomal RNA", at positions 681 to 1874 of the family's 2925-position model. The record is from RNAcentral. Lineage: Bacteria; Pseudomonadati; Pseudomonadota; Gammaproteobacteria; Enterobacterales; Enterobacteriaceae.